GGCUUGGUGGUCUAGUAGUAUGAUUCCUUGUUGGGGUGGAACGUUGUUACAGUAUCGAGGAGGUCCUGGGUUCAAUUUCCAGUCAAGCCU
Non-coding RNA from Guyanagaster necrorhizus, 90 nucleotides. NCBI's taxonomy places the organism in Eukaryota, Fungi, Basidiomycota, Agaricomycetes, Agaricales, Physalacriaceae. The record is from the annotation of a RefSeq genome assembly.